RNAcentral lists this long non-coding RNA (691 nucleotides) under Equus caballus (horse). RNAcentral describes it as "lncRNA (ENSECAG00000056581.1)". The record is from RNAcentral. Lineage: Eukaryota; Metazoa; Chordata; Mammalia; Perissodactyla; Equidae.
ACCUGAACCAAUUCAUCCACCUGGCCCUGGCACUGGCCAGCAAAUACCAGCCUCGUGACUCGUUACUCAAAGGUGCUGUUAUGGAAGUGCUGCCUACCAUGUUCUAUGAAAAUUCGCACUCUGAAGAUACUCCACUUCAUAACUGUGGACACUUACUUGGCCCAAGGUAUUUCUCUCGGAAAUACAGAGAAACUGCUGUGUGUGCAGGUGCUACCUGGCCCUCUUUAUGUCACCUUGUGGGGAUUGAGCUUUGGAGAACCAGCACAAGAAAAUGCUGCUAUUCUGGCUAUUGCUAAUCUGCGAAAACAAGUAUGAACAAACUGUGCCUUAAAGCAGUCCAAUGUGAGAAAUGUGUUAUAAAUGACAGGAAUCUCUCAGAAGCAGCUGUUUCAGAGAUGAGGAUGUGCACUAGGAAAGCUCCCGUUCCUGCUGCCCCUGAGGCAUGUUCUUCUGUGAUCCCAUAAAGCUGGGAAACGUGUGUGGCAGAGCAUCAUUUUAAGCACUCAGAUGUGAUCCCACGUGUCUGAAUGGUUAUGUUUAAAAUUUUUUUUAAUCUCUGUAACAGCAGCUAACUUCUAUUUGAGCUAACUAUAAUUGCACUGUUUACCAGGAAAAUAUGAAUUUUGAUUGAGUUGGCUUUGUCAGAUUAAAAACACAAGUUAAAAAUACUCACAGAUAACUAUGAAAAAGG